This 246-nucleotide ribosomal RNA is filed under the name uncultured bacterium. RNAcentral describes it as "partial 16S ribosomal RNA". It matches the Rfam family "Bacterial small subunit ribosomal RNA", at positions 523 to 769 of the family's 1533-position model. The record is from RNAcentral.
AUACAGAGGUCCCGAGCGUUGUUCGGAUUCACUGGGCGUAAAGGGUGCGUAGGUGGUGGGGUAAGUCGGAUGUGAAAUCCCCGGGCUUAACUCGGGAAAGGCAUUGGAAACUACCCUGCUGGAGGUUCGGAGGGGGACUGGAAUUCUCGGUGUAGCAGUGGAAUGCGUAGAUAUCGAGAGGAACACCAGUGGCGAAGGCGGGUCCCUGGACGACACCUGACACUGAGGCACGAAAGCUAGGGGAGC